GGUUAAGCGACUAAGCGUACACGGUGGAUGCCCUGGCAGUCAGAGGCGAUGAAGGGCGUGCUAAUCUGCGAUAAGCGCCGGUAAGGUGAUAUGAACCGUUAUAACCGGCGAUACCCGAAUGGGGAAACCCAGUGUGACUCGUCACACUAUCAUUAACUGAAUCCAUAGGUUAAUGAGGCGAACCGGGGGAACUGAAACAUCUAAGUACCCCGAGGAAAAGAAAUCAACCGAGAUUCCCCCAGUAGCGGCGAGCGAACGGGGAGGAGCCCAGAGCCUGAAUCAGCAUGUGUGUUAGUGGAAGCGUCUGGAAAGGCGCGCGAUACAGGGUGACAGCCCCGUACACAAAAGCGCAUGUGCUGUGAGCUCGAUGAGUAGGGCGGGACACGUGGUAUCCUGUCUGAAUAUGGGGGGACCAUCCUCCAAGGCUAAAUACUCCUGACUGACCGAUAGUGAACCAGUACCGUGAGGGAAAGGCGAAAAGAACCCCGGCGAGGGGAGUGAAAAAGAACCUGAAACCGUGUACGUACAAGCAGUGGGAGCACAGGUUUACCUGUGUGACUGCGUACCUUUUGUAUAAUGGGUCAGCGACUUAUAUUCUGUAGCAAGGUUAACCGAAUAGGGGAGCCGGAGGGAAACCGAGUCUUAAUUGGGCGUUAAGUUGCAGGGUAUAGACCCGAAACCCGGUGAUCUAGCCAUGGGCAGGUUGAAGGUUGGGUAACACUAACUGGAGGACCGAACCGACUAAUGUUGAAAAAUUAGCGGAUGACCUGUGGCUGGGGGUGAAAGGCCAAUCAAACCGGGAGAUAGCUGGUUCUCCCCGAAAGCUAUUUAGGUAGCGCCUCGUGAAUUCAUCUCCGGGGGUAGAGCACUGUUUCGGCUAGGGGGCCAUCCCGGCUUACCAACCCGAUGCAAACUGCGAAUACCGGAGAAUGUUAUCACGGGAGACACACGGCGGGUGCUAACGUCCGUCGUGAAGAGGGAAACAACCCAGACCGCCAGCUAAGGUCCCAAAGUCAUGGUUAAGUGGGAAACGAUGUGGGAAGGCCCAGACAGCCAGGAUGUUGGCUUAGAAGCAGCCAUCAUUUAAAGAAAGCGUAAUAGCUCACUGGUCGAGUCGGCCUGCGCGGAAGAUGUAACGGGGCUAAACCAUGCACCGAAGCUGCGGCAGCGAACGUAUCACUUAAAGCGAUUCAGCGGGUUACGAUUGACGGAGCGAAGCGACGUCAAAGCGUAUACAAAGUCGAGUCGGUUUAAGGAUACGUUCGUUGGGUAGGGGAGCGUUCUGUAAGCCUGUGAAGGUGGCCUGUGAGGGUUGCUGGAGGUAUCAGAAGUGCGAAUGCUGACAUAAGUAACGAUAAAGCGGGUGAAAAGCCCGCUCGCCGGAAGACCAAGGGUUCCUGUCCAACGUUAAUCGGGGCAGGGUGAGUCGACCCCUAAGGCGAGGCCGAAAGGCGUAGUCGAUGGGAAACGGGUUAAUAUUCCCGUACUUGGUGUUACUGCGAAGGGGGGACGGAGAAGGCUAUGUUGGCCGGGCGACGGUUGUCCCGGUUUAAGCGUGUAGGUGUGUGUUCCAGGUAAAUCCGGUUCACUUUAACACUGAGGCGUGACGACGAGGCACUACGGUGCUGAAGCAACAAAUGCCCUGCUUCCAGGAAAAGCCUCUAAGCAUCAGGUAACAUCAAAUCGUACCCCAAACCGACACAGGUGGUCAGGUAGAGAAUACCAAGGCGCUUGAGAGAACUCGGGUGAAGGAACUAGGCAAAAUGGUGCCGUAACUUCGGGAGAAGGCACGCUGACACGUAGGUGAAGUGAUUUACUCAUGGAGCUGAAGUCAGUCGAAGAUACCAGCUGGCUGCAACUGUUUAUUAAAAACACAGCACUGUGCAAACACGAAAGUGGACGUAUACGGUGUGACGCCUGCCCGGUGCCGGAAGGUUAAUUGAUGGGGUCAGCGCAAGCGAAGCUCCUGAUCGAAGCCCCGGUAAACGGCGGCCGUAACUAUAACGGUCCUAAGGUAGCGAAAUUCCUUGUCGGGUAAGUUCCGACCUGCACGAAUGGCGUAAUGAUGGCCAGGCUGUCUCCACCCGAGACUCAGUGAAAUUGAACUCGCUGUGAAGAUGCAGUGUACCCGCGGCAAGACGGAAAGACCCCGUGAACCUUUACUAUAGCUUGACACUGAACAUUGAGCCUUGAUGUGUAGGAUAGGUGGGAGGCUUUGAAGUGUGGACGCCAGUCUGCAUGGAGCCGACCUUGAAAUACCACCCUUUAAUGUUUGAUGUUCUAACGUGGACCCGUAAUCCGGGUUGCGGACAGUGUCUGGUGGGUAGUUUGACUGGGGCGGUCUCCUCCUAAAGAGUAACGGAGGAGCACGAAGGUUGGCUAAUCCUGGUCGGACAUCAGGAGGUUAGUGCAAUGGCAUAAGCCAGCUUGACUGCGAGCGUGACGGCGCGAGCAGGUGCGAAAGCAGGUCAUAGUGAUCCGGUGGUUCUGAAUGGAAGGGCCAUCGCUCAACGGAUAAAAGGUACUCCGGGGAUAACAGGCUGAUACCGCCCAAGAGUUCAUAUCGACGGCGGUGUUUGGCACCUCGAUGUCGGCUCAUCACAUCCUGGGGCUGAAGUAGGUCCCAAGGGUAUGGCUGUUCGCCAUUUAAAGUGGUACGCGAGCUGGGUUUAGAACGUCGUGAGACAGUUCGGUCCCUAUCUGCCGUGGGCGCUGGAGAACUGAGGGGGGCUGCUCCUAGUACGAGAGGACCGGAGUGGACGCAUCACUGGUGUUCGGGUUGUCAUGCCAAUGGCACUGCCCGGUAGCUAAAUGCGGAAGAGAUAAGUGCUGAAAGCAUCUAAGCACGAAACUUGCCCCGAGAUGAGUUCUCCCUGAGACUUUAAGUCUCCUGAAGGAACGUUGAAGACGACGACGUUGAUAGGCCGGGUGUGUAAGCGCAGCGAUGCGUUGAGCUAACCGGUACUAAUGAACCGUGAGGCUUAACCUU
This 2989-nucleotide ribosomal RNA is filed under the name Salmonella enterica. Its description in RNAcentral is "23S ribosomal RNA". It matches the Rfam family "Bacterial large subunit ribosomal RNA". Lineage: Bacteria; Pseudomonadati; Pseudomonadota; Gammaproteobacteria; Enterobacterales; Enterobacteriaceae. The record is from RNAcentral. RNAcentral also lists the same sequence under 3 other names.